GGGCUGUAGGUUAGUUUGGUUAAACCGCCAGAUAAAUAAUCUGGAGAUCUCUGAUUCGAGUUCAGACGACCCCA
Molecule: transfer RNA, 74 nt
Filed under: Caudoviricetes sp.
Lineage: Duplodnaviria; Heunggongvirae; Uroviricota; Caudoviricetes
Description: tRNA-Ile
Source: RNAcentral